This 491-nucleotide ribosomal RNA is filed under the name Flavobacterium sp. Its description in RNAcentral is "partial 23S ribosomal RNA". It matches the Rfam family "Bacterial large subunit ribosomal RNA", at positions 1 to 504 of the family's 2925-position model. The record is from RNAcentral. Lineage: Bacteria; Pseudomonadati; Bacteroidota; Flavobacteriia; Flavobacteriales; Flavobacteriaceae.
AAUUUUUUUAAAGCAACUAAGGGCGCAUGGUGGAUGCCUUGGGUCUGAGAGGCGAAGAAGGACGUGGUAAGCUGCGAUAAGCCGGGGGGAACUGCACACAAGUAUUAGAUCCCUGGAUUUCCGAAUGGGUCAACCCACGCAGAUGAAGUCUGCGUACUCUGUAAAGAGAGCCAACCUCCUGAACUGAAACAUCUAAGUAGGGAGAGGAAAAGAAAACAAUAGUGAUUCCCUGAGUAGUGGCGAGCGAAAUGGGAAUAGCCUAAACCGGGGCGGCGUGCCGCUCCGGGGUUGUAGGACUGCAUUUAGAAUAGGUCAUCAAGUUGAACCAUCUGGAAAGUUGGGCCAUAGCGGGUGAUAGCCCCGUAAGCGUACAUUGACCUGGACGAGCAGUAUCCUGAGUAAGGCGGGACCGGAGAAAUCCUGCCUGAAUCUGCCAGCACCAUCUGGUAAGGCUAAAUACUCCUCAGACACCGAUAGUGAACCAGUACCGU